GAGUUUGAUCCUGGCUCAGAUUGAACGCUGGCGGCAUGCCUUACACAUGCAAGUCGAACGGCAGCACGGACUUCGGUCUGGUGGCGAGUGGCGAACGGGUGAGUAAUAUAUCGGAACAUACCCAGUAGUGGGGGAUAACUAUCCGAAAGGAUAGCUAAUACCGCAUACGAUCUGUGGAUGAAAGCAGGGGAUCUUCGGACCUUGUGCUAUUGGAAUGGCCGAUAUCUGAUUAGCUAGUUGGUAGGGUAAAAGCCUACCAAGGCGACGAUCAGUAGCUGGUCUGAGAGGACGACCAGCCACACUGGAACUGAGACACGGUCCAGACUCCUACGGGAGGCAGCAGUGGGGAAUUUUGGACAAUGGGGGCAACCCUGAUCCAGCAAUGCCGCGUGAGUGAAGAAGGCCCUCGGGUUGUAAAGCUCUUUUGUCAGGGAAGAAACGGAGUUCUCUAAUAUAGGAUUCUAAUGACGGUACCUGAAGAAUAAGCACCGGCUAACUACGUGCCAGCAGCCGCGGUAAU
RNAcentral lists this ribosomal RNA (520 nucleotides) under uncultured bacterium. RNAcentral describes it as "bacterial SSU rRNA". It matches the Rfam family "Bacterial small subunit ribosomal RNA", at positions 9 to 524 of the family's 1533-position model. The record is from RNAcentral.